Molecule: transfer RNA, 68 nt
Filed under: Marmota monax (woodchuck)
Lineage: Eukaryota; Metazoa; Chordata; Mammalia; Rodentia; Sciuridae
Description: tRNA.Undet
Source: RNAcentral
GGUUGUGGCUCAGCGGUAGAGUGCUCGCCUAAGCAUGCGUGAGGCACUGGGUUCGAUCCUCAGCACCA